CCCUUAGUGGUAAAAAUGGUUAACACACUUGGCUGCUAAUCAAAAGGUUGGUGGUUCAAGUCCACCCAGAGGCA
Molecule: transfer RNA, 74 nt
Filed under: Loxodonta africana (African savanna elephant)
Lineage: Eukaryota; Metazoa; Chordata; Mammalia; Proboscidea; Elephantidae
Rfam family: tRNA
About the family: Transfer RNA (tRNA) molecules are approximately 80 nucleotides in length.
Source: Rfam by way of RNAcentral